AGAACGAACGCUGGCGGCAGGCCUCAAACAUGCAAGUCUAGGGGGUGUAGCAAUACAUCACCGGCGGACGGGUGCGUAACGCGUGGGAAUAUACCUAUUGGUUCGGAACAACUGAGGGAAACUUCAGCUAAUACCGGAUACGUCCUAACGGAGAAAGAUUUAUCGCCAAUAGAUUAGCCCGCGUUCGAUUAGCUAGUUGGUGGGGUAACGGCCCACCAAGGCGACGAUCGAUAGCUGUUCUGAGAGGAAGAUCAGCCACACUGGGACUGAGACACGGCCCAGACUCCUACGGGAGGCAGCAGUUGGGAAUCUUGGACAAUGGGGGAAACCCUGAUCCAGCCAUGCCGCGUGAGUGAUGAAGGCCUUCGGGUUGUAAAACUCUUUCGCGCACGACGAUAAUGACGGUAGUGCGAGAAGAAGCUCCGGCUAACUUCGUGCCAGCAGCCGC
RNAcentral lists this ribosomal RNA (448 nucleotides) under uncultured bacterium. RNAcentral's name for it is "SSU rRNA". It matches the Rfam family "Bacterial small subunit ribosomal RNA", at positions 26 to 518 of the family's 1533-position model. The record is from RNAcentral.